This 253-nucleotide ribosomal RNA is filed under the name uncultured bacterium. RNAcentral describes it as "partial 16S ribosomal RNA". It matches the Rfam family "Bacterial small subunit ribosomal RNA", at positions 524 to 776 of the family's 1533-position model. The record is from RNAcentral.
UACGGAGGGUGCGAGCGUUGUCCGGAAUCAUUGGGCGUAAAGGGCGCGUAGGUGGCCCGCUCAGCGUGCGGUGAAAGCUCGGGGCUCAACCCCGAGUCGGCCGUGCGAACUGGUGGGCUGGAGCACUGUAGAGGCAGGCGGAAUUCCGGGUGUAGCGGUGGAAUGCGUAGAGAUCGGGAGGAACACCUGUGGCGAAGGCGGCCCCCUGGGCCGGCCCUGACACUGAGACGCGAAGGCGUGGGGAGCAAACAGG